RNAcentral lists this ribosomal RNA (433 nucleotides) under uncultured bacterium. RNAcentral describes it as "partial 16S ribosomal RNA". It matches the Rfam family "Bacterial small subunit ribosomal RNA", at positions 29 to 507 of the family's 1533-position model. The record is from RNAcentral.
AACGAACGCUGGCGGCAUGCCUAACACAUGCAAGUCGAACGAGACCUUCGGGUCUAGUGGCGCCCGGGUGCGUAACGCGUGGGAACCUGCCCUUAGGUUCGGAAUAACUCCCCGAAAGGGGUGCUAAUACCGGAUAAUGUCUUCGGACCAAAGAUUUAUCGCCUUUGGAUGGGCCCGCGUUGGAUUAGCUAGUUGGUAGGGUAAAAGCCUACCAAGGCGACGAUCCAUAGCUGGUCUGAGAGGAUGAUCAGCCACACUGGGACUGAGACACGGCCCAGACUCCUACGGGAGGCAGCAGUGGGGAAUAUUGGACAAUGGGCGAAAGCCUGAUCCAGCAAUGCCGCGUGAGUGAUGAAGGCCUUAGGGUUGUAAAGCGCUUUUACCCGGGAUGAUAAUGACAGUACCGGGAGAAUAAGCUCCGGCUAACUCCGUG